Long non-coding RNA from Phyllostomus discolor (pale spear-nosed bat), 653 nucleotides. RefSeq lists it as uncharacterized. The record is from RefSeq and is a predicted model, not a curated record. Lineage: Eukaryota; Metazoa; Chordata; Mammalia; Chiroptera; Phyllostomidae. The transcript has 3 exons.
CCAAAUUUUUUCCCAAAACCUGAGACAGUCUCAGUGACUUGGUUAGCUGCCUUGUCGAUGGUUUCCUGAGUGGAUUUGGUGGCCUGGUCCAUGGCUGGGGAAGAAAAGGAGAGGACAGUUUAUAGGAAGAAGCUGAAGCACAGAGAGGGCAAGGAACUGCUGACAGGCCACCGGCCAGCCGUCACUGGGAUGUGGUGGGCAGAGGGGUGGGGAGAGUCAGGCCUGUCUGCACCUAUGUAGGAUUCUCCCCUACCCUGAAGCCCUGGGAAGCCCCACUUACCCAGGACCACUCUGCUAGCUCACUCUGUACCUGUAAUGGGAACGGGAGAAGGGUGUGGAAGCAGGGAAGGAGAGACUGAUGGUAAGACCGGGAGGGUCAGCCUCUGGUGGGAAGGGAUUGAUGGAGAUGUCAUUCCUGGGCAAGAGGAAGGGGCUUGCCCUGAGAUCAGUCGGGUGGGGAGAGGGACAACUACAUGGCUGCCACACCCACCCUGCCAGCUGGGCCAGGCUGUGAGCUGGGGUCUAGCCCAGAGCUGCAGAGAUGCUGUGAGGAACCUCCCAAGGGCUGGUCACCACUCUGAGUACCCAGCCUGGUUACCGCCCCAUUCCUGCCCACCCUCCCGAAAUCCCAUCAGUUAGCCUAAAAGACCUUU